AAGAAUAGGUUAUGGGUUGUCAAGACUAUCAAAGCAAUCAGAGCUCUUAAAGUUGAUGACAAGGAAAUUUCCGAGAUGUUGUUGGUGUUUUGAAGGAAGGAAGAACACCAACAUAAAAAAAAUUUCAACAACUACUAAUGGUUGUUUGGGCUUUACCGAGUCAAGCUAAUGACGUUAAAGAAGCGCUUGCUGGGAGGCAACCCAGUUUCUAACCUAGUUUCUGAAUUUUUUUUCUUUUAUUUGAUUUGAUUUGAUUUUAUUUUAUUUUAUUUUUUAGGUUAUAUUCUGUUUCUGAUGGCAGUGAUGAUUGCAUCUACUGAUGGAUGCUUUUACAACAUUUACUGAUGGAUGUUGCUAUGAAAGAGGACGUAAUUAGACAUAUACUGAGGGAUGUCACUGUCAACAUUUACUGAUGAAUGCUACUAGGAUAACAUCUACUGAGGGAUGCUAGAAGAUUGAGUAUCUACUGAAGGAUACCGGGAAGGUACACCUACUGAUGGGUAAUGGUAAGGUUUGCACCUACUGAUGGGUGUUAG
This 536-nucleotide long non-coding RNA is filed under the name Vigna radiata. RNAcentral describes it as "long non-coding RNA (VRAD_LNC014948)". Lineage: Eukaryota; Viridiplantae; Streptophyta; Magnoliopsida; Fabales; Fabaceae. The record is from RNAcentral.